GAUGAACGCUGGCGGUGUGCCUAAUACAUGCAAGUCGAACGCGUUGGCCCAAUUGAUUGAUGGUGCUUGCACCUGAUUGAUUUUGGUCGCCAACGAGUGGCGGACGGGUGAGUAACACGUAGGUAACCUGCCCAGAAGCGGGGGACAACAUUUGGAAACAGAUGCUAAUACCGCAUAACAGCGUUGUUCGCAUGAACAACGCUUAAAAGAUGGCUUCUCGCUAUCACUUCUGGAUGGACCUGCGGUGCAUUAGCUUGUUGGUGGGGUAACGGCCUACCAAGGCGAUGAUGCAUAGCCGAGUUGAGAGACUGAUCGGCCACAAUGGGACUGAGACACGGCCCAUACUCCUACGGGAGGCAGCAGUAGGGAAUCUUCCACAAUGGGCGCAAGCCUGAUGGAGCAACACCGCGUGAGUGAAGAAGGGUUUCGGCUCGUAAAGCUCUGUUGUUAAAGAAGAACACGUAUGAGAGUAACUGUUCAUACGCUGACGGUAUUUAACCAGAAAGUCACGGCUAACUACGUGCCAGCAGCCGCGGUAAUACGUAGGUGGCAAGCGUUAUCCGGAUUUAUUGGGCGUAAAGAGAGUGCAGGCGGUUUUCUAAGUCUGAUGUGAAAGCCUUCGGCUUAACCGGAGAAGUGCAUCGGAACUGGAUAACUUGAGUGCAGAAGAGGGUAGUGGAACUCCAUGUGUAGCGGUGGAAUGCGUAGAUAUAUGGAAGAACACCAGUGGCGAAGGCGGCUACCUGGUCUGCAACUGACGCUGAGACUCGAAAGCAUGGGUAGCGAACAGGAUUAGAUACCCUGAUAGUCCAUGCCGUAAACGAUGAGUGCUAGGUGUUGGAGGGUUUCCGCCCUUCAGUGCCGGAGCUAACGCAUUAAGCACUCCGCCUGGGGAGUACGACCGCAAGGUUGAAACUCAAAGGAAUUGACGGGGGCCCGCACAAGCGGUGAGCAUGUGGUUUAAUUCGAAGCUACGCGAAGAACCUUACCAGGUCUUGACAUCUUGCGCCAACCCUAGAGAUAGGGCGUUUCCUUCGGGAACGCAAUGACAGGUGGUGCAUGGUCGUCGUCAGCUCGUGUCGUGAGAUGUUGGGUUAAGUCCCGCAACGAGCGCAACCCUUGUUACUAGUUGCCAGCAUUAAGUUGGGCACUCUAGUGAGACUGCCGGUGACAAACCGGAGGAAGGUGGGGACGACGUCAGAUCAUCAUGCCCCUUAUGACCUGGGCUACACACGUGCUACAAUGGACGGUACAACGAGUCGCGAACUCGCGAGGGCAAGCAAAUCUCUUAAAACCGUUCUCAGUUCGGACUGCAGGCUGCAACUCGCCUGCACGAAGUCGGAAUCGCUAGUAAUCGCGGAUCAGCAUGCCGCGGUGAAUACGUUCCCGGGCCUUGUACACACCGCCCGUCACACCAUGAGAGUUUGUAACACCCAAAGUCGGUGGGGUAACCUUUUAGGAGCCAGCCGCCUAAGGUGGGACAGAUGAUUAGGGUG
This 1496-nucleotide ribosomal RNA is filed under the name Limosilactobacillus fermentum. Its description in RNAcentral is "bacterial SSU rRNA". It matches the Rfam family "Bacterial small subunit ribosomal RNA". Lineage: Bacteria; Bacillati; Bacillota; Bacilli; Lactobacillales; Lactobacillaceae. The record is from RNAcentral.